AGAGUUUGAUCCUGGCUCAGGAUGAACGCUGGCGGCGUGCCUAAUACAUGCAAGUCGAGCGAACGGACGAGAAGCUUGCUUCUCUGAUGUUAGCGGCGGACGGGUGAGUAACACGUGGAUAACCUACCUAUAAGACUGGGAUAACUUCGGGAAACCGGAGCUAAUACCGGAUAAUAUUUUGAACCGCAUGGUUCAAAAGUGAAAGACGGUCUUGCUGUCACUUAUAGAUGGAUCCGCGCUGCAUUAGCUAGUUGGUAAGGUAACGGCUUACCAAGGCAACGAUGCAUAGCCGACCUGAGAGGGUGAUCGGCCACACUGGAACUGAGACACGGUCCAGACUCCUACGGGAGGCAGCAGUAGGGAAUCUUCCGCAAUGGGCGAAAGCCUGACGGAGCAACGCCGCGUGAGUGAUGAAGGUCUUCGGAUCGUAAAACUCUGUUAUUAGGGAAGAACAUAUGUGUAAGUAACUGUGCACAUCUUGACGGUACCUAAUCAGAAAGCCACGGCUAACUACGUGCCAGCAGCCGCGGUAAUACGUAGGUGGCAAGCGUUAUCCGGAAUUAUUGGGCGUAAAGCGCGCGUAGGCGGUUUUUUAAGUCUGAUGUGAAAGCCCACGGCUCAACCGUGGAGGGUCAUUGGAAACUGGAAAACUUGAGUGCAGAAGAGGAAAGUGGAAUUCCAUGUGUAGCGGUGAAAUGCGCAGAGAUAUGGAGGAACACCAGUGGCGAAGGCGACUUUCUGGUCUGUAACUGACGCUGAUGUGCGAAAGCGUGGGGAUCAAACAGGAUUAGAUACCCUGGUAGUCCACGCCGUAAACGAUGAGUGCUAAGUGUUAGGGGGUUUCCGCCCCUUAGUGCUGCAGCUAACGCAUUAAGCACUCCGCCUGGGGAGUACGACCGCAAGGUUGAAACUCAAAGGAAUUGACGGGGACCCGCACAAGCGGUGGAGCAUGUGGUUUAAUUCGAAGCAACGCGAAGAACCUUACCAAAUCUUGACAUCCUUUGACAACUCUAGAGAUAGAGCCUUCCCCUUCGGGGGACAAAGUGACAGGUGGUGCAUGGUUGUCGUCAGCUCGUGUCGUGAGAUGUUGGGUUAAGUCCCGCAACGAGCGCAACCCUUAAGCUUAGUUGCCAUCAUUAAGUUGGGCACUCUAAGUUGACUGCCGGUGACAAACCGGAGGAAGGUGGGGAUGACGUCAAAUCAUCAUGCCCCUUAUGAUUUGGGCUACACACGUGCUACAAUGGACAAUACAAAGGGCAGCGAAACCGCGAGGUCAAGCAAAUCCCAUAAAGUUGUUCUCAGUUCGGAUUGUAGUCUGCAACUCGACUACAUGAAGCUGGAAUC
RNAcentral lists this ribosomal RNA (1344 nucleotides) under Staphylococcus aureus DAR3840. Its description in RNAcentral is "bacterial SSU rRNA". It matches the Rfam family "Bacterial small subunit ribosomal RNA", at positions 8 to 1333 of the family's 1533-position model. Lineage: Bacteria; Bacillati; Bacillota; Bacilli; Caryophanales; Staphylococcaceae. The record is from RNAcentral.